Molecule: ribosomal RNA, 353 nt
Filed under: uncultured bacterium
Lineage: Bacteria
Description: bacterial SSU rRNA
Rfam family: Bacterial small subunit ribosomal RNA
Source: RNAcentral
ACUCCUACGGGAGGCAGCAGUCGAGAAUCUUCCACAAUGGGGAACCGUGAUGGAGCGACGCCGCGUGCAGGAAGACGGCCUUCGGGUUGUAAACUGCUUUUAUAUGGGAACAAAUCAUUGAGCGUACCAUAUGAAUAAGCACCGACUAACCACGUGCCAGCAGUCGCGGUAAUACGUGGGGUGCAAGCGUUGUCCGGAAUUAUUGGGCGUAAAGCGUCUGUAGGCUGUUUUGUCAGUCCGCUGCUUAAAUCAUCAGGCUCAACCUGGUGGCUGGCACGGAUACUGCAAGACUAGAGCAUAGGAGAGGCAAGCGGAACUCCCGGUGUAGCGGUUAUAUGCGUUUAUAUCGGGGG